UGGGGAAUAUUGGACAAUGGGCGCAAGCCUGAUCCAGCCAUGCCGCGUGUGUGAUGACGGCCUUAGGGUUGUAAAGCACUUUCGCCGAUGAAGAUAAUGACUGUAGUCGGAGAAGAAGCCCCGGCUAACUUCGUGCCAGCAGCCGCGGUAAUACGAAGGGGGCUAGCGUUGUUCGGAAUUACUGGGCGUAAAGCGUACGUAGGCGGAUUGUUAAGUGAGGGGUGAAAUCCCGAGGCUCAACCUCGGAACUGCCUUUCAUACUGGCAAUCUUGAGUCCGGGAGAGGUGAGUGGAAUUCCUAGUGUAGAGGUGAAAUUCGUAGAUAUUAGGAAGAACACCAGUGGCGAAGGCGGCUCACUGGCCCGGAACUGACGCUGAGGUACGAAAGCGUGGGGAGCAAACAGG
RNAcentral lists this ribosomal RNA (404 nucleotides) under uncultured bacterium. RNAcentral's name for it is "bacterial SSU rRNA". It matches the Rfam family "Bacterial small subunit ribosomal RNA", at positions 355 to 776 of the family's 1533-position model. The record is from RNAcentral.